CCUACGGGAGGCAGCAGUGGGGAAUAUUGCACAAUGGGGGAAACCCUGAUGCAGCGACGCCGCGUGAGUGAAGAAGUAAUUCGUUAUGUAAAGCUCUAUCAGCAGGGAAGAAAAUGACGGUACCUGAGUAAUAAGCACCGGCUAACUCCGUGCCAGCAGCCGCGGUAAUACGUAGGGGGCAAGCGUUAUCCGGAUUUACUGGGGGUAAAGGGAGCGUAGACGGCAGUGCAAGUCUGAAGUGAAAGGCGGGGGCUGAACCCUAGGACUGCACUGGAAACUGUACGGCUGGAGUAGAGGAGAGGUAGGUGGAAUUCCUAGUGUAGGGGUGAAAUGCGUAGAUAUUAGGAGGAAUACUAGUGGCGAAGGCGACUUACUAGACUAUAACUGACGUUGAGGCGCGAAAGCGUGGGGAGCAAACAGGAUUAGAUACCCUUGUAGUC
RNAcentral lists this ribosomal RNA (440 nucleotides) under uncultured bacterium. Its description in RNAcentral is "partial 16S ribosomal RNA". It matches the Rfam family "Bacterial small subunit ribosomal RNA", at positions 338 to 795 of the family's 1533-position model. The record is from RNAcentral.